Molecule: ribosomal RNA, 330 nt
Filed under: Staphylococcus aureus
Lineage: Bacteria; Bacillati; Bacillota; Bacilli; Caryophanales; Staphylococcaceae
Description: bacterial SSU rRNA
Rfam family: Bacterial small subunit ribosomal RNA
Source: RNAcentral
AAAUUGAAGAGUUUGAUCAUGGCUCAGAUUGAACGCUGGCGGCAGGCCUAACACAUGCAAGUCGAACGGUAACAGGAAAAAGCUUGCUGCUUUGCUGACGAGUGGCGGACGGGUGAGUAAUGUCCGGGAAACUGCCUGAUGGAGGGGGAUAACUACUGGAAACGGUAGCUAAUACCGCAUAACGUCGCAAGACCAAAGAGGGGGACCUUCGGGCCUCCGGCCAUCGGAUGUGCCCAGAUGGGAUUAGCUAGUAGGUGGGGUAACGGCUCACCUAGGCGACGAUCCCUAGCUGGUCUGAGAGGAUGACCAGCCACACUGGAACUGAGACAC